UAACAAGGUCUCCGUUGGUGAACCAGCGGAGGGAUCAUUACUGAGUUUACGCUCUACAACCCUUUGUGAACAUACCUAUAACUGUUGCUUCGGCGGGUAGGGUCUCCGUGACCCUCCCGGCCUCCCGCCCCCCCGGGCGGGUCGGCGCCCGCCGGAGGAUAACCAAACUCUGAUUUAACGACGUUUCUUCUGAGUGGUACAAGCAAAUAAUCAAAACUUUUAACAACGGAUCUCUUGGUUCUGGCAUCGAUGAAGAACGCAGCGAAAUGCGAUAAGUAAUGUGAAUUGCAGAAUUCAGUGAAUCAUCGAAUCUUUGAACGCACAUUGCGCCCGCCAGCAUUCUGGCGGGCAUGCCUGUUCGAGCGUCAUUUCAACCCUCAAGCUCUGCUUGGUGUUGGGGCCCUACAGCCGAUGUAGGCCCUCAAAGGUAGUGGCGGACCCUCCCGGAGCCUCCUUUGCGUAGUAACUUUACGUCUCGCACUGGGAUCCGGAGGGACUCUUGCCGUAAAACCCCCCAAUUUUCCAAAGGUUGACCUCGGAUGAGGUAGGAAUACCCGCUGAACUUAAGCAUAUCAAUA
RNAcentral lists this ribosomal RNA (578 nucleotides) under Colletotrichum gloeosporioides. RNAcentral describes it as "eukaryotic LSU rRNA". The stretch from base 215 to 368 matches the Rfam family "5.8S ribosomal RNA". Lineage: Eukaryota; Fungi; Ascomycota; Sordariomycetes; Glomerellales; Glomerellaceae. The record is from RNAcentral.